UUAAACUGCAUCAUCACUUACCAUAUGAAAUCACUGUCAAAGUCAAAGCUAUUUAAAUUCAAAAUAAGUACCAACACACUUUAAUUGUUGAAUUUGUGAGAUAAUUCAUGUAAUGGUGAUAAUUACGCAAACAUAUAACUAAAGCUACACGGGUUACAAACGCUCCUUGGUGCUCGAUUGUGGUAGAAUGACAGCUACAAUGUCACGAUCGCAAUCACCUCUGAUUGGUCGACGCUCGCUCACAAUUGGUUACAAUGCAUUGUUGCAACCAUAGUACCAUAAAUUCAGCCAAUCACAAUAAUUGAGAUUGUAAUAAUGAUUGAUGCAGUUUUUCCGCAAUCGACCAGUUGGUCCAUAGGCUAGGUUGUCAUAAAAAACUGACUAUUCCAGUUUCAACUUUCGUGACGGGCUUGUAUACAGGCGACUCGGUCUGAGUGGAUGUCCUCAGUAACGAAACUCUGACAAUGUGCGUAUUUCCUGUGACCACAGUGUAAGUAAACUUAUAUGCAGUCUGUAUUCAUUGCACUCUUCAUCUUAAUUUAUUGCAUCCAUAAUUAUAAUUGUUGAAACUUCGAAUCGUUAGCUUUGUGUUUGUGUGAGUCUGAAAUAGUUUUUUUUAAAGAGUAUAAUACUCGGAUUUAGAUUUUUGAAAAUCCCCUUGUUUUUCCACGGCAAAAAGUAGUCUUAUGUGCGUCUAUGGGUUGUAAGAAUUUUCAUCAAAACUGGAUGGGCCCUGAAAAGCUAGCAGACAGACAGCCACCCUUUCGCAUUAUAAUAUUAUUAUGGAGUAUGCAUUUGGCUUUGUGUAAGAUGGUAACUUAAAUACUAUCAGACCAGACUUGACCUAAUUAAGAAAAUUUUACUGUCUAAAGUUUAGACUCUAAACUAUCUCAGUCAAUGUUUGAAUCCAGCACUUUCCAAUAUGACCAUUUCCCUGUAUGUCCAUUCCUAUAUGACCACAUCCCAGUAUGGCCACUUCUUGAUGUAUGACCUGACCACUUCCCAUUAUGACCACUUUCUGAAAUAACCAGUUCUCUAUAUGGCUAUACCCCGGUAUGUUCAUUCCGAGUAUGGCCAGUUCUCGAAAUCGCCACAUAUUUUAACAUUUACAAAAUUCAAAAGGAAUAAUCAGAUCUUUUCAGAUUUAUAUUUUAGCAACCUAUUUAGAGUGUUAUUUUUAACCCCCGACCCAAAAAGAAGGGUGUAAUAAGUUUGACAUCUGUGUAAACUCAGUGUCAGUGCAAAACUAUACAACUUUGAAAUCACGGAAGUGCAAAGCUCGUUUCGUCGUUUCAACUACUACGUCACAAAGUACUUAUCCCUUGUUUGUCUUUCGUUGCCAUCUCGCGGGAAAAUCUAUUGCCAAAUAUUAUGCUCAAUAUUCGGUGUACAUGUUACGUUGGACGGGAGAAAUGUGCACAUUGUGACCAUGUUAAAUACUAUAUUUAUUGCGUUGAUAUACAAUACACCGAAGAUAUACAGAUCGUUUGGAUUGGAAGUACUAAAAGUGGCCUAAUAUUGUUGGCCUUUCCAAAGUUUACAAUUUAAAGAAAUUAAUUGGCUUUACCGGAAAUAAAAAACCGGAAUUAAAAAGUUCUCAAAAAGUCUCCAAUGUUUUGACGCAUGAAAACUUCUCACUACAGUUAGUAAGUUACAUCAAAUAACAUUUGGUCAUCCAUAUGAAUUGACAAAAUAAUGUUUAUCACACAUAACAAUUAUUUACAACUAAGUCAAACCGUACAUGGUGAAACUUGAUAUUGAAUUAAAAAUUAAUAUUCGAUGAAGAAAUUACAUUGCUUUCGGCUCAUCUGAUAGUAUGCGAUCAGCUUAAAAUUUACUCAACACUUAUUAGUAGACCAAUAACAUAAUUUAUUCGGACACUUUCACGGACGUCUGUAUAUCUUGGGUUUCGUAUGUCGAUGGUUUAUUAUUAUCGAUUCUCCAUGCCUAACAUAGAUGAAGUCAAAUAAAUAAUGUUGCUGUAAUUCUUGUUGAUAAUCGAAAUUAUGCUUUAUUGUAAAACAAAUAUAGUUCUAUUUAUAGUGGAGGCAUUGCAGUCGCGACUUGGGUUCCUAAUUACCGUGCUCUGCCCUGACAGGGCGCCUUUUACAUUAUCAUAUAGAUUCAAAGCCAGGAGUAGGUAGGUACAGGGCGGCCGGUCGAAAUCAGUAUAGCGAAACGAUUAACGCCUAUGGCGUAAAUGCGUAUCGCAUGUCGCGUGCAAAUGCGUUAGUGUUCUAAAGGCGUUAAGCUGCAAAUAUAAUGUAUGUAUCGUAAAUCGUAGUGUACUCUUCGACCAAUUAGAGAACGCCUUUAGCGAAACGUUCGCGUACCAUUUGAAAUACUUGUACCUGUUUAUCUAUUUUAUUUACUAUCCUAUUUAUUUAUGAGAAUAAUUCGACAAACGACUAUUGACAAUAGCAUCGGACAUACAUAAUUUUGAAUAUUUUUACAAUUUUUUUUUUUUUACUUAAGUACCUAAGUAAAAUAGAAAUCGUCCAUCACUUAAUAAAGAUCACUGCCAUAGAUGUCUUUUAUUAGCAAAUUUCAAAAAUAAUUAUCCCUAUGUUACUGUCUUUUGACCCUUUCCAGCUCUCUUAUUCUUAAAGAUUUGACUAUGAUAAUGUAAUAGGUGCCUUCUUAGAACACUUUUGUUUAGAGUUAGACCACUCUGGUGUCCGUCGGAGUGUCGACUUGUUUAGCUUACGUAAUUUGUUGAUAUAAGUUAUUCAAUUAACAGUCCUCAUGUAGGGUAACCAUGUAUUAUAAAAACCUUAGCCUAUACUGGGCUCGGCGUAAGUUGUCAUGCAGGCGAUGGUUAAGACUCCUCACGUCAUUGACCGUGAACCAUACGUGGUCCACGCGUCUUACACUUCCCAACGUUGAAAAUUCGAUCGUUUAUAGCACGAUCCAACCACCACCACGAUAUAAAGUUCACAUUUCCAUGCUUUACUGUGAGUUAAGUUGGAGUGGAGUUAGCGUCGAGUCUGUUGUGUGAAGUGUGCCAAGACUUAUCCACUUUGCCCUGUGUCCCUCGCCCGCCUGACAGAUUACACUUGGCCUUAUUGUUUCGGUUUUACAGACGUGUAAAAAUUGUAAAUCCGCGAUGAAACAGGUAAUCAUGCACAAACUUACGAAUUAUUCAUUGUUUAAAUUUAAAAAAAAACGCUCGUAAUGAUUGUAUUUAAUUUGAUAGCUAUGCAAUACGAACAAUAAAAUAACUAAUGAAAUUAAAUAGCUAUUUAAUAUGUGACAAGUUGGAAUAGUUCCAAAUCAUAAAUGGUAGAUUAUAUUGUACCUACUAUCUUAUGGUGCAAACGCAUUGCUGUUGUAAUGUGUUACAACGAUCGACCAAUCAGAACGCGUUUCGAGCAUCAGCGCACCGAACGGAUCUGAUUUGCGCCACCGAUAAAGUAUGGUGAUCGAUUUGUAACUUUUUCGACUCGUCCCAUAUAAUAUUUUAGGCAGAAAUGCUUUGAAAAUCCACUGUUAACGCCAAACAAAGUCGCAACUAAAAAUAUAAUAUUUAUUCCUUCAAACGUUCUAUAAAAGUAUUAACAAAUGUUACUAAUAUACUUACCUAAUAAGUACGACUGCGUUCAUACAAUAACAGAAUUUUUCACAAAGUUUCUGAAAUAGCAUUCGGUUUUUAAUACAUCGUGAUGCCACUAAAACUGUUUGGACGCUGUUAAAUCUUGACUAAAGACCUUGAAAAAGUGGAUCUUCAAAGCAUCUCCCGCAUAAAAUGUAUUAUGUUUUUAGGUAGGCCCCAUUCAAUUAUUAAUAUGUAAGUGAAAGUGUAUAAAUAUUUCUCUACACAUUCUUCCAUAGACAGGUGACUUGACGUAUAAAUUGAAAUUGCCUUAUUUAAGGGAAAAGGUUUCUAUUUCGGUUCCGAAAACCGCUGCGGUUUUGAGUGAGUAGUGUCGCUAGUGUAGAUCACGGUUAUAUUACGGUCACGAAAGUUGAAAAUGUGUUAUCUUAUCUAAGUACCUUCAAGCAGGAAAUAUUACACAUCGAAUUUUAGACAGAGAAUUUAGCUUCGUAGAGCGUCGUCUCUGUCGCUCACACUUAUGUGACGUUUUGUCGGUCUCAACGACAGAGACGGCGCUCUACGAAACGUUAUCUUUUUCUAAAGUUCGAUGUGCAAUUUACAACCACUUUUAUAAGUUACGCCGAUGUACCUGCGCAGAAGUCUUAUUUUUGAAUUAUGGAAAAUAUCUCAGCUAAUCAUAGCGCGCGUCCAUCCGCUAUUCGUUAGCCUACGCGCGAUUUAUGAGCUAAAUGGCACGAGUCUCUGUUGUUCUUGCGCUUACGUAAGCAACAAGGUCUGUAUUUCAUUGGUGUACAUUUGGUUUUAGUCGGCGUAAGGUUGCACUUUUCUGCGCAAACGAAUUUUGCCGAUGCGACUUAUAAAGGUGGUAGUAAUGUAAUACGCUUGAUUCGUCUCGCGCACAGCACCUCAACCACAAAAUAGAAAGAUAUCAAAAUGCGGUGUGCCUCGGUCCCACUUCACUCUACUGGUGUGCGUUGUGCCUCAUACCCUCUCUAUUUUGUGCCUUAACUCUUGCACCGUUUCAACUUUUGUGAAUCGUUAUGUAUCGAUUGUUUAUGUGCAAUUCGGCCGCUACUUUUAUUCCAAUUCGCAUUUAUUAAUUUAUUUUAAUUCCAAAGAAUGUGCAAGCAAAAGAAAUAAUUUCACUGAAAAGUAGCUGUAAAUAUCUAAUGUACGAUUACAAUUAAUGUACCUAUUGCUACCUUGCUCUCACAUGAGGUGGUCAGCGAUUAACAUUAGUAUGUGACAGAGAUAAACAUAAGUUUUGAUGAGGAAUUUUUUUUUCGGUCGCAGUGUACAGAGCAGGUUUAUUGUUAAACUAAAUAAUGAGAAAGACGUAGAAUGUAAUGAAACCAGUACAUAAUCGUGUUAUUCUAUUUAUUUUCAGUGAACAAACUACGAGAUAGAAAUGUCACUAAGAAAUUAUUAAUAUUAAAUGAGAUUUUUAAUCUCGCAAUUACUUGUUGACAUUUAAAUAAUUGUUUUAAAACCAGAAUAACGUUACAAUAAUUAUAAAUUUGCUCAAUAAAGAAACAAUAUGGCGAAGUAAAUCGUGCACAAAUAGCAGCCAAUAGCCAUAAACCAAAACUUAAAAAUGGAGCGUUAAAUAUUUAAAUAAUACCUACUGUACAAAAUUAAAAGAUGCUGUGUAAAAUAAAGGCUAGCGCACAUAAGAGGUCGCACCGCAAACGCAACGCAAAAAUCAAGAUGAAUUUGAAUAGUUCACCUAGCUUUAAUAAAAUGAAAAAUCCGUUCAUCACUUUAAAAUAAAGUAUAAUAUAAAUAUUUUAUUAUAUUAUAAGGGGUUUUAAACGAAGACGUGAUGGGUUAACUUUCUACUACAUAGUGGUAAACUAGUGACUAUAAUAGAUAACACGUCCAACUAGUUAACUUACAUAACGACUAGUAGGUAUUCCUUAGGACGGUAUUUAUUUAGCUAGACUAAAAUAAGUCAUUUAAACCAUAAAAUCACGACUUAUAGCACAUCAAAAAAUACACAGACUAUUAUUGAAUGAAAAAUUACGGACGGAUUUUGCAAAGCGGCGCAGCCUGCUUUUGUGUACAUAGCCUUAGAAUAUUGCUUUGAAAGGUAAAUGUAAAUUCAACUGUAGAACAGAGGUAUUAGCGGUUAAGGAUAUAAAGGAAUGAGAUUGUGGCAAAUAUCGAGUCAUGGACUGAGAAAUGUUUAGGGUAUACUAUCGUUCGUCGGAAGAAAUCACUAGGGAUUCGCAGGAGAAAACAAAAGUAUCGAUAAAAUAUUAAAACGAGUGUGUUACCUUUAACUUUUCAAAGUUUAAUCCCCGAUUACUGCAAAGCAUUCUUUAACAAAAGAGAUAAUUGUUAUUAUGUAGGUAUUCGGGGGCUCGAACUCAAUUCGAUUAAAAAUGAGAUACGAAUAGGUUCCCACCAUAAACCAUUCGAUUACAAUAAUGAAUGAAAGACUGUAUCGUAUUAAAAUCUAUACUUAUUCGUAAUAAAAGUAUCGAAACUUUUGGCGAAUCCCUAGAAAUUAUUAAUUAACUAAGUCACUAAUUAAUAUAGAAGAUAAACGUGACAAAAACUAAUUUACAUGACAGGCCCGGAAGCGGCGUAUUGUUCAGUUGUUCAGAAAAGUAAUGAGCGUGUAGAAACAAUUUAUAUUAUUAUCUAUUUAAAAUAAAAUUGUAGCUAACUUGAAUUUUACGUAAUUUUUAUUUGCAAGGAUGUAUUAUUUAUGUAUAAUAAAAAUGUAAGUUAAAUGUUGCUUUAGUUAUCGCUUACGAUUUGAUCAUUGUUUUUUUUAACUGUCAGUUAAGUGUAACAGGAGAUUAUGUAAACAUGCAGAUUACUGAAGUUAUUUGUGAAUAUGUAAUUAUUCUUGUGAUCUAAAAUCCGUUUAUAUACUGUAUUUUUUAUUUUCUAGAUUAAAGAAAACAUCUUACUGCA
Long non-coding RNA from Maniola jurtina (meadow brown), 6481 nucleotides. RefSeq lists it as uncharacterized. The record is from RefSeq and is a predicted model, not a curated record. The transcript is spliced from 2 exons. NCBI's taxonomy places the organism in Eukaryota, Metazoa, Arthropoda, Insecta, Lepidoptera, Nymphalidae.